RNAcentral lists this ribosomal RNA (531 nucleotides) under uncultured bacterium. Its description in RNAcentral is "bacterial SSU rRNA". It matches the Rfam family "Bacterial small subunit ribosomal RNA", at positions 979 to 1509 of the family's 1533-position model. The record is from RNAcentral.
CCUUGACAUACUAAGAACUUUCCAGAGAUGGAUUGGUGCCUUCGGGAACUUAGAUACAGGUGCUGCAUGGCUGUCGUCAGCUCGUGUCGUGAGAUGUUGGGUUAAGUCCCGNAACGAGCGCAACCCUUUUCCUUAUUUGCCAGCGGGUCAUGCCGGGAACUUUAAGGAUACUGCCAGUGACAAACUGGAGGAAGGCGGGGACGACGUCAAGUCAUCAUGGCCCUUACGGCCAAGGCUACACACGUGCUACAAUGGUCGGUACAAAGGGUUGCUACCUCGCGAGAGGAUGCUAAUCUCAAAAAGCCGAUCGUAGUCCGGAUCGCAGUCUGCAACUCGACUGCGUGAAGUCGGAAUCGCUAGUAAUCGCGGAUCAGAAUGCCGCGGUGAAUACGUUCCCGGGCCUUGUACACACCGCCCGUCACACCAUGGGAGUUUGUUGCACCAGAAGUAGGUAGUCUAACCGCAAGGAGGACGCUUACCACGGUGUGGCCGAUGACUGGGGUGAAGUCGUAACAAGGUAGGCGUAGAUGA